CUGGCAAGGCGGGCGGAGAGGCAGCCAAUCAGGUCCGUGCUGGCUCUCUGGUAGGCGAAUGGCAUGGCAUACUGGCCCUCUCGUCGCCCCGCCUCCCCUCCCCACUGCACCGCAGCUGCCCAGAAUGAUUUUAUAAACAUUUUGCCAGUGGAUCAAUACCUGUAUUGAUCAACCAUUGUGAGAGUGAUCCGUCUAAAACCCAGAGCAGCCUAGAGCUCAGAGAUGGGAGGAGCGAAACAGAGAGGCUGCAGAGAGGAUGGAGAAAGAGAGAGAGUCUGCAGCCACAGUGAAAGGGAGAAGAGGUACAAGGGAAGAGAAGGGAAUCUGAGAGAGCAGCAGACGCAGAGCUGAAGGCAGGUGGGGAGGCAGGUUUCGGACAGCGCUGCCAGGCCACUGGGACUGGGGAGAAACCUAUGAGAAAACACUGGAAUGGCAAAGAUGUACAGUUUGCUUGGUGACAACGUGGGACAGAGAAGGCCCAGCACACACUGCGCUCCUGACUUCAGCUGUUGUGUUGUGUCAAAGUGGAAAAUCAAAGACCUCGUGGAAAGGAAUAGCCUGCAUCCUGGAUACAAACAUCCAUGGAGGAAGUAACAGGAACAUUUAUGAUCUGGGCAAAGCUGAAUGUUUAAUCAACACCGACGUCAAACUCAAAUGAAAAUGGCUGCAAGACGAUAGCGUCAACUGUGCCUAACAGAUUCUUGCUGUUUUGAGCUGAUGUGGAUACAGCUAGCUCGGGAUGUUUCUCACAUUUUGGCAUUUAUUGGAUUUAAUUUUUAUCAUAUUUUGAAUUUUGUUGGAAUUUUACUGAGGAGAUGACCGACUGAGGAUGAGUGGACCACUCAACACUCACGAUGAAUGUUCGAUUCAAGGCCCCAAGCGGUGUUGCACUGGAGGAGGAGUCAAAAGGCUUUGGGGAUCAUCCCCCAAUGCUGAAGGGAAAUCAAGUUUCCAUUGAUUGAUUUUAAAUGUGACUUCUCUGCAUAAUAGUGGAUUUGAGGGAAGAUAAAUGCCUCCAUCAAACUGUGGGGAAAGACCUUGAUGCCAUGAACUCACUCUGUAUUUGAGCUGUGGUGGGGGAGCAUUCAGAGAUAAAGGCCUACUCUCUACUGGAGGUUGAAUUCAAAGUAUGAACAUUGUGUUCCAAGGACAAGAGGCACCUACAUGCAAUUUUGUAAAUAGACUAUACAAGAAAUUAAAUAUUAUUGUGAGGUGCACAAUGCAAAUCUCUCUAAGUGCGUGGCAGUACUUAUCCUUGGCUGUGUCCAAGUUCCACACUGCAUACUAACACAAUAAGAAUGCACUGUGUAUGUUUGAUAGCAUAGUGUUUUGAUAGUCUGUAAACAAUAAAUGAAUGACAGGAAAUGAUACAACAUGGUUCCCAACAGACUUCAAUUAAAGUGUAAUUAUGGUUCUUUA
This is a long non-coding RNA of Lates calcarifer (barramundi perch), 1419 nucleotides long. RefSeq lists it as uncharacterized. Lineage: Eukaryota; Metazoa; Chordata; Actinopteri; Centropomidae. The record is from RefSeq and is a predicted model, not a curated record. The transcript is spliced from 2 exons.